Molecule: unclassified non-coding RNA, 343 nt
Filed under: soil metagenome
Description: partial contains 5.8S ribosomal RNA, internal transcribed spacer 2, and large subunit ribosomal RNA
Rfam family: 5.8S ribosomal RNA (bases 1-120)
Source: RNAcentral
GAUGAAGAACGCAGCGAAAUGCGAUAAGUAAUGUGAAUUGCAGAAUUCAGUGAAUCAUCGAAUCUUUGAACGCACAUUGCGCCCGCUAGUAUUCUGGCGGGCAUGUCUGUCCGAGCGUCAUUUCAACCCUCAAGCCCCCGGGCUUGGUGUUGGGGAUCGGCGAGCCUCCGCGCCCGCCGUCCCCUAAAUCUAGUGGCGGUCUCGCUGUAGCUUCCUCUGCGUAGUAGCACACCUCGCACUGGGAAACAGCGCGGCCACGCCGUUAAACCCCCAACUUCUGAACGUUUGACCUCGGAUCAGGUAGGAAUACCCGCUGAACUUAAGCAUAUCAAUAAGCGGAGGA